CCUACGGGGGGCAGCAGUGGGGAAUAUUGCACAAUGGGGGAAACCCUGAUGCAGCGACGCCGCAUGAGUGAAGAAGUAAUUCGUUAUGUAAAGCUCUAUCAGCAGGGAAGAAAAUGACGGUACCUGAGUAAGAAGCCCCGGCUAACUACGUGCCAGCAGCCGCGGUAAUACGUAGGGGGCAAGCGUUAUCCGGAUUUACUGGGUGGAAAGGGAGCGUAGACGGCAGUGCAAGUCUGGAGUGAAAGGCGGGGGCUCAACCCCCGGACUGCUCUGGAAACUGUACGGCUGGAGUGCAGGAGAGGUAAGUGGAAUUCCUAGUGUAGCGGUGAAAUGCGUAGAUAUUAGGAGGAACACCAGUGGCGAAGGCGGCUUACUGGACUGUAACUGACGUUGAGGCUCGAAAGCGUGGGGAGCAAACAGGAUUAGAUACCCCAGUAGUC
Molecule: ribosomal RNA, 440 nt
Filed under: uncultured bacterium
Lineage: Bacteria
Description: partial 16S ribosomal RNA
Rfam family: Bacterial small subunit ribosomal RNA
Source: RNAcentral